CCUACGGGAGGCAGCAGUCGAGAAUCAUUCACAAUGGGGGAAACCCUGAUGGUGCGACGCCGCGUGGGGGAAUGCAGGUCUUCGGAUUGUAAACCCCUGUCAUGUGGGAGCAAAUUAAAAAGAUAGUACCACAAGAGGAAUAGACGGCUAACUCUGUGCCAGCAGCUGCGGUAAUGCAGAGGUCUCAAGCGUGGUUCGGAAUCACUGGGCGUAAAGCGUGCGUAGGCGGUUUCGUAAGUCGGGUGGGAAAGGGGCGGGCUCAACCUGGGGACGGCACAUGAUACUGCGAGACUAGAGUGAUGGAGGGGGAAGCGGAAUGCGGGGUGUAGCAGUGAAAUGCGUAGAUAUCGAGAGGAACACUGGUGGCGAAGGCGGGUUCCUGGACAUUAACUGACGCUGAGGCACGAAGGCCAGGGGAGCGAAAGGGAUUAGAUACCCGUGUAGUC
RNAcentral lists this ribosomal RNA (446 nucleotides) under uncultured bacterium. Its description in RNAcentral is "partial 16S ribosomal RNA". It matches the Rfam family "Bacterial small subunit ribosomal RNA", at positions 338 to 795 of the family's 1533-position model. The record is from RNAcentral.